This is a long non-coding RNA of Panicum hallii, 6328 nucleotides long. RefSeq lists it as uncharacterized. The record is from RefSeq and is a predicted model, not a curated record. NCBI's taxonomy places the organism in Eukaryota, Viridiplantae, Streptophyta, Magnoliopsida, Poales, Poaceae. The transcript is spliced from 2 exons.
CCAUGACUCUACCCGCGAGAGCCGAGAGCUUUCCUCGUCCUCAUGCUUGCAAAGCGCACGGCCUCGCCGCCACUGCCUCCGCCGCCACAAAAUCAUAUAAGAUUUCUCCAUCUAAUCUAGGCUAGCGAAUUAUCUUUCUCAAUCCCACGACUUACUUCGUGGUUCGCGUCUCCCUAGAUCCCUUCCUCCGAUCGGCAGCGCAUGGCAGACGAGGACUCUGUGGAAGGCAUGGAGGAGGGUCAGGGGGCCGGGCCAAGGCGGUUACGAAAGAGACGUCGGCGUCCUCGACAUCUUCCACCUCUAAGCUGACAGCAGAGACAGGGGCCAAGCAGAUCCAAGCAGGUCCCUCGUGUGGAGCGGAUCUGACGGAGUCGCAACUGCAACAUUGAAAAAUGGAGGAGGGCAGCGCAGGAGGUGUCGAUUGACGAAUGUACGAGUGGAUCAUGCGACAAGCCUGUGCAGAUCAGCAUGUCGGUGGACCAUCGGUAAAUCCUUUCCCUGCUUGUGCAAGUGGCUGUUAAAAUAUUUGUUUUUAUUUUACUGAGUAGUGAUUCGUGAAUUUCAUCACAUGGCUGCCAACAUUAUUUAGAUGAUUUCAGGAGAAUAUAUCUCAGUUACAAAUACAAGUAAUUUGAAGCAAACAUGUAUAUACUCUAAAUUGGAUUACUGCAGGAAAAUUAAACUACAAAAGUACAAGGUUCAUAUAUGCUAAUAAACUCUAAUAUUGUUGCUGACUACCAAAUCUCUGCCACAUUUGCUCAAUCAGAUCUUGCUUGAGAUGCCGAUGGGUUGCUCGAUCACGAAUAUCCCUAUUUUUUUAAGACCUCUGUGAAUCCACAGAUCGGUCCCUAAUCAAGCUCUGUUAUUUGAGCAGAAAAUUGCCCUUGUUCAUAUGUAUUAUCAUCAGGUAUCACAUAAGAGCCCUUCUCAUCCUCAACGAUCAUGUUAUGCAAAAUAAUACAUGCAUACAUUAUAUCGGCAAGCUCUUGCCUUUCCUAAAGACGUGCUGUCGAUGUAUUAUGGUCCAACAUUUCUGUAAAACCCCAAAAGCUCGCUCGACAUCUUUUCUUGCUGAUUCUUGACGCUGCGCAUACAAUUUAUGCUUCUGACUUUGGGGCCUAGUGAUUGAUUUGGCGAAUGCUGACCACUCAGGAUAAAUACCAUCAGUUAGAUAAUAUCCCAUGUUGUAAUUGUUCUCAUUAACACUAAACUGAACGGUAGGUGCUCUUCCUUGUACCACAUCAGUGGACUGAUCCAACACAUUGAUGUUGUUGUUUGAACCGGCAUCACAAAAAAUGCAUGCCAAAUCCAAUUGUCAGCAGAUGCAAUUGCUUCAAGCAUGAAGGGACUCCAUAAUCACCACGGGUGAAUUGUGACUUCCAUGCAACUGGGCAAUUUUGCCAUUUCUAAUGCAUGCAAUCAACACUGCCCAACAUACCUGGAAAUCCAUGUAUCUCUCCAAACUGAAGUAAACGUUGAAUAUCCUCUUCAGUAGGCCUGCGAAGAUAGCGUUGUCCAUAAAUAUGCCUCACACCUUGAACAAAAUAGAUCAUGCAUUCCAUUACCAUGCUUUCAGCUAUACCAAAAGACUCAUCCAUAAGAUCAGCCGGUGUUCCAUAUGCCAACAUUCGAAUUGCAGCAGUGCAUUUCUGCAAUGGUGAUAGACCCACCUUGCCAAAGGCAUCUCUUCUGAGACGAAAAAAGGAGACCAAACAACAAGAGUUUCUACAAUGCGCAAAAAUAAAUACUUCCUCAUGCGAAAUCUUCUACGGAACUGAUUAUCGGUGUAUAAAGGAUUGCUUGAAAAAUAUUUAGCAAACAACAUGUUAUGGUCUUCUUUCGUGAUCUCUAUUUAUGUACCUCCAUUUGUUGCGCCCACUUUGAUUAGAGGUACCAGCUAGUCUUGCCUGCAAUCGCUUCAAGUUGACCUUCAAGAUGAGCUUGUAGUUGAGCCUCAAUAGUGUCCUUAAUUUCUUCCCACAUCAUCUUUUCAAGCUUCUCACUAGAGAUAGACUCAUCAGAAUGAUUAGAGUGAUCUUGUGACUCAUCAGAAUGGCUAGAGUUAUCUUGUGACGCAAUAGACAUCUUUCUUUUUGGAGCUUGGUUGGUCUGCUGAGAAGAGAAGUAAAGGAAAUGAAUGUAAGUGUUGUUACUGAACUGCAGCUCAUAUUUGUAGGUGAUUUUAUCCCAACGACUACUUUUCAACAGCUAUGACUUGCUUUUGUCUGUAUUCCAAUGUAUUCCAACAGCUAGUUUGCAACAGCUAUGUUUUGCUUUUAUCUAUAUCGCCAACAGCUAGUUUGCAAUAGCUGUCUUGCAUUUGUCUAUAUUCCCAACAACUAGUUUGCAACAGCUAUGUCUUUGAUUUUCUCCACAUACCAACAGCUAGCAUUAUAUUUAUAUUACCAUGGUACAAAUAGUGAUACAAUACAAGAACUAGCACUAGGGCUAAAAUACAGAACUCUAAUAUUAAAGGCACAUUCUAUGCAUACAUCAACUGGUGGCACGGUAACCACCAGGGUCCACGAAUUGGGUCUAUUCUCUCCGUGCGCCGCUGCCGUGACGGGCAGGCCGCAAAGAGUUCCACGCCUCCCACAGCUGUGUGUUCUGAGGUGCGUUUGGUUCGUUGCCUAACUCGUCGUAGCCUAACCUUAGACGCGCCACACCACCGGAGGCAUGUGUUUGAUGAAUGGCUAAACUUAGGCAGCCACACUUUUUUAGACAUGAUUCCAUCAACAUGCCAUAUAAUUUUCAUGCCGCACUUGCGGCGUUCGAUUUGAACGCCGCACUUAUGGCACCAUGCUAAUCUUAAGGCGUGGCGCCUUCCUAGCAACCCAAACAUGCUCCUCAUCCCGCGCCGCCCCUGCCGCGGCCGUGCCCGCCUCACGAGUCAUGUUCUCCUACACCCCUCCACCAUCUGCCGCCGCCGCCUCCGCGCCCUACGUGGCCAACAACCACGGCGAGCGGGUGGUCCACGGGAGCCCGCUGGCUUCAUCUGGCUCUAAGAUAAGCUCUUCCUCUUCCUUUCUACUACUGUCCCUUUCUCCUUUAUUUCCUUCUUUCACUUUUUUCUGUGAUUUGUUGGUGGUUCCGUUCUUUGGCUGCUCCUGUGUGCUCGAACAUUGAUUUCGGCGCUAGGCUCGCCCGGGUUUACAAAGUAUGCUUCAUGCCCGUAUCAUUGGACGCUUAGAUCGAGUUUUCGCCCUUUCGAUUUUGUUUCUGCUCAUGCAGCACUUCCUCCCCCCUCUCUUUCUUCUAUGUUCUCUUCUUUAUAACGGCAUCUUCACAUUCAGAUUGGUUUUGUAUUUUUCCAAUUGAUCUAACGAUACUGUCGCUGCUUGCUUCAUGUCCCCUCUUCCUUCUUUGUCUUCUUCCUUGCAGCGUUUGCAACUUAGCUGUACAAUAUUUCUGAGCACAUAUGUUGAUUAGCUCGAUUUGCCUGUUGAAUACGUGGCCAUGCCUUAAGAUUUGAUUUCUUUCUUUCUUUGAUUUCAAUCUCGAUUUGAUAUGGGGCUUCUCAUGGUGCCUUCUUCCUUUUUCUCUUUAGCAAUUUUCCAAAGAUUUAUCCUCUUACCUGAUGUUUUCCACCAUUGGAUCUGUACCCUCUGUAAAACAGAUGAUGUGAAAUCUGGAUUUGCUGGUGCAGCCCAAUCUGAAUAGAAGCUGAAUUUUUUCCGCAGGUGCGGAUGGAAUUGAGAUUUGUAUGAUUCCAGUUUCAUGAACCUCAUCUGUUUUGUUCAAUCCUACAUUAAAAUUUGCUUGCUAAGUUUGCUGUAGGACACGGUGUCUGCAACAAACCACCUAUUCCAAAGUUGUAAAUACAAAACAAAAUUCAUAUUGGUCUCAGCCCUGCUAACUGGAGUAUAUCUGGAACACCUUUAGCUUGGUAAGUUCUACUUACUCCAUGCAUAUCUAUGUAGGACCAUUAACUGCUACUACUUUUUUUUGCCUUUUCCUUUAGAAAAAAUAUUGUUGUGUUCUUUUAUAUCAAAUGACAUCAACGUAGCUUGUGAUAUGGAUGUAAGAUGGUCUAGGCUUGGUGUUCUUCAGAUCUAUAAAAUAUUUAUAGGGAGAGCUUAUAUAACUAUAUGGUUGCAUACUAAGAGCUCAUAUGAUUUUAAAUUAUUAAACGUUCCAAUAUCAUUAUUCCCAAAUAAGCUAACUGCAUCUAGAGUUAACGAGAUUCAAGAAUCCAUUCAUGGUGGAGAAGCUCAACUCUGGUUGCCCAGGUCUUGAAAGCUUGGGUUUUAUCGUGUUGCACAGUUGGCCCAUUCAAUAUUUCUAUUCUCCACAUAAAAGUACAUUGAAUUGGAAAUUAGAGCAUGUUGCAGGACUUGCAGCCAGAAUUUGAGUAGCACUUCUGUCCUUUUUUCCUUCGUUUUUAAAUUUACUGUUCAAUUUGUUGUUCAAAACUUAAGCUAUUCGCUGUCUUUUAAACUAUUCAUUUAUGUUUUGAUGAUACUUUAUAAUAUAUCUUAAUACUAAUGAACCAAUUUUGCCAAGGUAAAACAUCACAAACCUUCAUAGUAUUAACUGAGGGCUUAAAACUGCCUGCACUCAUGUAGAAUUGAUAUCCGGUUAAGGAAGAGAAAGAAGAAACAUCAGAGUGCAGGCUCCAUUCUUAAACAAUACAAUAGACGCAUUAUUCAGGUAACUCUUUACCAAAGGAAGAGAACUUUAGUAAUGCUGCCUCAUCCUUUGAAUUGGGACUUCGGGAGUGAUUGGACUUUUAGGAUGGGGAUGUUUCGAACAAUUCGUUUAGUAGCAUUACAUGAUUACCAAAUUAUGCACUACCAUUACUACUACUUCAUGACUCUUGAAACAUCGUUCAAACCUAUACCAUGCAUGUGAAAAGUAUUGCCCACAAUUGAAAGGAAUUGAUUAAAAAAUUAAUGCCUCUCUACCCAUGUGAACUCAUUACUCAUGAAUCCUUCCUUUUGACCUUUUCUCUCUACUGCACAUGGUUUUGACUAUAACCUCUCCCAACAGACAAAAACGUACACUGCAAUGUCAGUUAAUGAAGACCAUCCCCAUACCAAGUGUGAAGGCAUUAAAAAAAAUCUAUCCCCUCUCAUGUGCAAACUCUCCUCAAGAAGAAUCCAGAUCCUCUCUCUCAUGCAGCUUCAGUAGCCCCUAUUCAAAUAUGAACACAAAGGAAAGAAAUAUAUCCUUUCUAAUUCGACUGACAAAACAAUAGCUGAUAAUGUCAGUAAAUAGCAGCCCCGCUCCAAGUGAGAAAGCAUUGAAAACAUCUACCUUCUCUCCCGUAUAAAUUCCCUUCAAGAAGUAUCUAGGUUCUUUGCUUCACCCAAAAGCAUCUUGACCUUGCAUGUGUCAUACAGUUUAAUUGUAAGCUGUACGGACACAAGUGGUGUUGCACCUUUUUUACAGGCAUCAAACUGGAGAGCUCCUAUUUGAAAGGAAAAUCUUCAUUGCCCUUACCUCAGGUGCUGUGAUUUGGAUAUUUGAUUUGGAUAUUUGUAUUCUGGAUGUGUAUGCCGAGCACUAGAAGCUCCAUGCAAUUCAGAAUUCAGAAUCCUCUUUUAUUACAGCUUCUCUCACGAAUAGUAAUAUUUUGUAUAAACCAUAUGAGAGUAGCUUGGCACAAUACUGCACCUGCCUUGGAAAGCUACUGGUCUCAAGUCAGAAAAAUGAUAUUCACGUCAAGAACUUCCAACAGCUAGCCGAACGCCAGGAUAGCAAGAAAGAAAUUAUGCAAACUUAGUACAAACCACCUCCAUGGACGUACGACUCACCAUUCUCCAUCUAAUUCCUAAGUAUUGAAUGACAUACUCACAAAACCAUUUUGCUAGUAAUAAUGUCAGUUGUUUCGGCGACAAAUUUUGCAGGUAUCCUAAUAUCCAUGUACAUUCCUAACUCAACAGCUACAAAAUCCAAAAAAUAGUUAAAUAAUUUUUGGACUCACCAUUCUCCAUCUAAUUCCUAAGUAUUUCAAUAUGCUCAUUCAUAUUUAAUUACAUGAAUCACAUACUCACAAAACCAUUUUGCUAAUAAUAAUGUCUGUGUUGUUUCGGUGACAAAUUGCAGGUAUCCUAAUAUCCAGGUACGUUCCUAACUCAACAGCUACAAAAUCCAAAAAAAUAGUUAAAUAAUUUUAAGAACCUUUUUCCUUAAUUGCAUUACUAAUGUAUCUUCCAUACAACUUUUACAGGACAUCUACACUUCUUUUGGGAAGAAGACUGUCCCUUCCAAGUCACAUAUAGCUAGAUUGCAGUACAACCUGGCUAUGUAAUGUACAUUUUUGCACUCAAUUUUAGACUAUGUAAUGUUAAAUCACCUUAGCAAGAUGUCCUCUAUUUUGUUGUAA